Molecule: non-coding RNA, 327 nt
Organism: Schizosaccharomyces pombe (fission yeast)
Lineage: Eukaryota; Fungi; Ascomycota; Schizosaccharomycetes; Schizosaccharomycetales; Schizosaccharomycetaceae
Source: the annotation of a GenBank genome assembly
AAAACUUAUCAAUUUGAACGUUGAAUUUUAUCGAACCACGAAGGCUUUUAAAAUUCCAACUGAAAUCCGCGGCUCUAAGAGUUAGUAUGGUUUCAACAUACUCCUCAAGUAAACAUUCGUCAGGCAGUUACAGUUUUCAAACAAAGUGACUAAAAAUGCAGUAAAUGUAUAUAUAAACUACUAAAAUGUAAUACGAAUUCAUAUCUUUGCUCUCAAAUAAAGCAAAUUUAAAUUUAUUGGAGUUAACGAAGAGAUUAACUUACAAAUUGCUAUAGGAAAUUGACUAAGAAUAUACUUGAAAAAUAUGCUGUAGUUUGUCUAAAAAAA